ACGCUCGACACCUACGGGUGGCAGCAGUGGGGAAUAUUGCACAAUGGGGGAAACCCUGAUGCAGCGACGCCGCGUGAGCGAAGAAGUAUUUCGGUAUGUAAAGCUCUAUCAGCAGGGAAGAAACUGACGGUACCUGACUAAGAAGCACCGGCUAAAUACGUGCAAGCAGCCGCGGUAAUCUGAGCGGGCUGGCAAGGC
RNAcentral lists this ribosomal RNA (198 nucleotides) under uncultured bacterium. RNAcentral describes it as "partial 16S ribosomal RNA". It matches the Rfam family "Bacterial small subunit ribosomal RNA", at positions 328 to 539 of the family's 1533-position model. The record is from RNAcentral.